This 218-nucleotide long non-coding RNA is filed under the name Vigna radiata. RNAcentral describes it as "long non-coding RNA (VRAD_LNC001205)". The record is from RNAcentral. Lineage: Eukaryota; Viridiplantae; Streptophyta; Magnoliopsida; Fabales; Fabaceae.
UUCCAUCCAAAAAUAGCAAAGAGUANUUGACCUUGUGGAGAAUACUCAUCUUGAAGCUUUUUGGCCAUCCCUCUUGUGAUAGGUCCUAUGGUGCUAGACCUUCUUGUAUCAUCCCCUCCCUCUUGAGAAGGAUUUGUCCUCAAAUCCAAAGGCUCUUCAUCAUCACUUUCAUAACCUGCAAAAGGUUUAAGAUCAGAUACAUUAAAGGUAGCAUGAAC